This 610-nucleotide ribosomal RNA is filed under the name Cytophagaceae bacterium 96-10PB. Its description in RNAcentral is "bacterial SSU rRNA". It matches the Rfam family "Bacterial small subunit ribosomal RNA", at positions 129 to 737 of the family's 1533-position model. Lineage: Bacteria; Pseudomonadati; Bacteroidota; Cytophagia; Cytophagales; Cytophagaceae. The record is from RNAcentral.
CCUGAAUCUGGGGGAUAGCCCGCCGAAAGGCGGAUUAAUACCGCAUAAAACUGCAGNUUGGCAUCNAGUAACGGUUAAAGAUUUAUUGGAUUCAGAUGGGGUUGCGUGCCAUUAGCUAGUUGGGGAGGUAACGGCUCACCAAGGCGACGAUGGCUAGGGGAGCUGAGAGGCUGGUCCCCCACACGGGCACUGAGAUACGGGCCCGACUCCUACGGGAGGCAGCAGUAGGGAAUAUUGGGCAAUGGACGAGAGUCUGACCCAGCCAUGCCGCGUGCAGGAUGAAGGCUUUCUGAGUCGUAAACUGCUUUUAUCAGGGAAGAAAAAAGGGNNUGCGNNCUCUACUGACGGUACCUGAUGAAUAAGCACCGGCUAACUCCGUGCCAGCAGCCGCGGUAAUACGGAGGGUGCAAGCGUUGUCCGGAUUUAUUGGGUUUAAAGGGUGCGUAGGCGGUUCUUUAAGUCCGGGGUGAAAGCCCACUGCUCAACAGUGGAACUGCCCUGGAAACUGGNNAACUUGAGUACAGACGAGGGUGGCGGAAUGGAUNCUGUAGCGGUGAAAUGCAUAGAUAGUAUCCAGAACACCGAUUGCGAAGGCAGCUGCCUAGACUGU